UACGGGGGAUGCAAGCGUUAUCCGGAUUUAUUGGGUUUAAAGGGUGCGUAGGCUGUGAGGUAAAUCAGCGGUGAAAUGCCCCCGCUCAACGGGGUGAAGUGCCAUUGAUACUGCCUUGCUGGAAUGCGGAUGCCGUGGGAGGAAUGUGUGGUGUAGCGGUGAAAUGCAUAGAUAUCACACAGAACACCGAUUGCGAAGGCAUCUCACGAAUCCGCGAUUGACGCUGAUGCACGAAAGCGUGGGUAUCAAACAGG
RNAcentral lists this ribosomal RNA (254 nucleotides) under uncultured bacterium. Its description in RNAcentral is "partial 16S ribosomal RNA". It matches the Rfam family "Bacterial small subunit ribosomal RNA", at positions 524 to 776 of the family's 1533-position model. The record is from RNAcentral.